CACCUGAAUACCAAACAAGAAGAUUCCGAAAUUCACAAUCAAGUAAAACUUUUCUGUAAUUAGUCCAUGUAAUAGAUGCAUGAAAAGACCCAUUGCACACUAUUUUUCUACUUAUAAUGCAUUAAACUUAGGCAACAACGUACAGAGUAGAUACAGGACUUCUAUCCAGACGGAAAUUCAGAAUACGAAUAUAGCAGUUUCAUCGACAUAAUAAUUUCCUGUCCCUCGUUUUACUCUGAGACCAAACAAGAAACUUU
RNAcentral lists this unclassified non-coding RNA (257 nucleotides) under Hevea brasiliensis (rubber tree). The record is from RNAcentral. Lineage: Eukaryota; Viridiplantae; Streptophyta; Magnoliopsida; Malpighiales; Euphorbiaceae.